GUUGAAUCAUGAGGAGGCUGGCAAAAGGGCCCUCUCCUCAUGAGGUCUGGUUAAUAUCAGGAAUUAUUGCCUCAAACGCUGCAGGUUCAACCUGGAUCAGAAGCCAAGACCAAUGCCGCACUUGGAAGGGACGACCAAUAGUUCUGUGUUCCUGACCUGUCUUACAGUCUUUCGCUUCUAUCCGCAGUGGACCAUUUGGCUGAUCACGUCACUCUACAGCUGUUCUGCCACAUUUGAGCACCCACAUUAAAGACAAAAGUUGGGGAGAUAAUGAAGAGGCAAGACAGCAAUAUGGGAUUGGCUGGAAAGAUGACAGACUGCAUAUGCACAUCAAAUAAAUUCCAAACGCAGCCAUCUAUUCCCAAGGUUUGGACAAAACAAAGGAACGAAUGUGGAACAGAAGUUUCAAAGACCUCUACGGAAAGAUAAAGUUCUCGGAGGUAUCAACCUCAUAUGAAAGGGUCUUUUAAAAGGUCAUUUUAUUAAAGCUAUGGAGAAGAAAUAACCUUCGGAAA
RNAcentral lists this long non-coding RNA (515 nucleotides) under Homo sapiens (human). Its description in RNAcentral is "HSALNT0300213". The record is from RNAcentral. Lineage: Eukaryota; Metazoa; Chordata; Mammalia; Primates; Hominidae.